GCCUGAGUGGUGAAAUUGGUAGACACGCCAGACUCAAAAUCUGGUGGUAGCAAUAUCGUGCCGGUUCGAGUCCGGCCUCAGGUACCA
RNAcentral lists this transfer RNA (87 nucleotides) under Campylobacteraceae bacterium. Its description in RNAcentral is "tRNA-Leu". It matches the Rfam family "tRNA". From Rfam's summary of the family: Transfer RNA (tRNA) molecules are approximately 80 nucleotides in length. Their secondary structure includes four short double-helical elements and three loops (D, anti-codon, and T loops). Lineage: Bacteria; Pseudomonadati; Campylobacterota; Epsilonproteobacteria; Campylobacterales; Campylobacteraceae. The record is from RNAcentral.